This 252-nucleotide ribosomal RNA is filed under the name Otomantis rendalli. RNAcentral's name for it is "partial 18S ribosomal RNA". It matches the Rfam family "Eukaryotic small subunit ribosomal RNA", at positions 1144 to 1412 of the family's 1831-position model. Lineage: Eukaryota; Metazoa; Arthropoda; Insecta; Mantodea; Hymenopodidae. The record is from RNAcentral.
UUAAAGGAAUUGACGGAAGGGCACCACCAGGAGUGGAGCCUGCGGCUUAAUUUGACUCAACACGGGAAACCUCACCAGGCCCGGACACCGGGAGGAUUGACAGAUUGAGAGCUCUUUCUUGAUUCGGUGGGUGGUGGUGCAUGGCCGUUCUUAGUUGGUGGAGCGAUUUGUCUGGUUAAUUCCGAUAACGAACGAGACUCUAGCCUGCUAACUAGUCGCUUCCGGUAUCCCCUGUGCUACCGGCGACUCCUG